This 201-nucleotide ribosomal RNA is filed under the name uncultured bacterium. Its description in RNAcentral is "partial 16S ribosomal RNA". It matches the Rfam family "Bacterial small subunit ribosomal RNA", at positions 328 to 539 of the family's 1533-position model. The record is from RNAcentral.
ACGCUCGACACCUACGGGAGGCUGCAGUUAGGAAUAUUGGGCAAUGGAGGAAACUCUGACCCAGCAACGCCGCGUGAAGGAAGAAGGUUUUCGGAUUGUAAACUUCUGAUCUAGGGGAAGAAGGAAGUGACGGUACCCUAGGAGAAAGCCACGGCUAACUACGUGCUAGCAGCCGCGGUAAUCUGAGCGGGCUGGCAAGGC